CACAUGCAAGUCGAACGGAAAGGCCCCUUCGGGGGUACUCGAGUGGCGAACGGGUGAGUAACACGUGGGCAAUCUGCCCUGCACUUCGGGAUAAGCCUGGGAAACUGGGUCUAAUACCGGAUAGGACCUUUAGACGCAUGUCUUUUGGUGGAAAGCUUUUGCGGUGUGGGAUGGGCCCGCGGCCUAUCAGCUUGUUGGUGGGGUGAUGGCCUACCAAGGCGACGACGGGUAGCCGGCCUGAGAGGGUGUCCGGCCACACUGGGACUGAGAUACGGCCCAGACUCCUACGGGAGGCAGCAGUGGGGAAUAUUGCACAAUGGGCGCAAGCCUGAUGCAGCGACGCCGCGUGGGGGAUGACGGCCUUCGGGUUGUAAACCUCUUUCACCAUCGACGAAGGUUCGGGUUUUCUCGGAUUGACGGUAGGUGGAGAAGAAGCACCGGCCAACUACGUGCCAGCAGCCGCGGUAAUACGUAGGGUGCGAGCGUUGUCCGGAAUUACUGGGCGUAAAGAGCUCGUAGGUGGUUUGUCGCGUUGUUCGUGAAAUCUCACGGCUUAACUGUGAGCGUGCGGGCGAUACGGGCAGACUAGAGUACUGCAGGGGAGACUGGAAUUCCUGGUGUAGCGGUGGAAUGCGCAGAUAUCAGGAGGAACACCGGUGGCGAAGGCGGGUCUCUGGGCAGUAACUGACGCUGAGGAGCGAAAGCGUGGGGAGCGAACAGGAUUAGAUACCCUGGUAGUCCACGCCGUAAACGGUGGGUACUAGGUGUGGGUUUCCUUCCUUGGGAUCCGUGCCGUAGCUAACGCAUUAAGUACCCCGCCUGGGGAGUACGGCCGCAAGGCUAAAACUCAAAGGAAUUGACGGGGGCCCGCACAAGCGGCGGAGCAUGUGGAUUAAUUCGAUGCAACGCGAAGAACCUUACCUGGGUUUGACAUGCACAGGACGCGUCUAGAGAUAGGCGUUCCCUUGUGGCCUGUGUGCAGGUGGUGCAUGGCUGUCGUCAGCUCGUGUCGUGAGAUGUUGGGUUAAGUCCCGCAACGAGCGCAACCCUUGUCUCAUGUUGCCAGCGGGUAAUGCCGGGGACUCGUGAGAGACUGCCGGGGUCAACUCGGAGGAAGGUGGGGAUGACGUCAAGUCAUCAUGCCCCUUAUGUCCAGGGCUUCACACAUGCUACAAUGGCCGGUACAAAGGGCUGCGAUGCCGCAAGGUUAAGCGAAUCCUUUUAAAGCCGGUCUCAGUUCGGAUUGGGGUCUGCAACUCGACCCCAUGAAGUCGGAGUCGCUAGUAAUCGCAGAUCAGCAACGCUGCGGUGAAUACGUUCCCGGGCCUUGUACACACCGCCCGUCACGUCAUGAAAGUCGGUAACACCCGAAGCCAGUGGCCUAACCCUUGGGAGGGAGCUGUCGAAGGUGGGAU
This 1415-nucleotide ribosomal RNA is filed under the name Mycobacterium marseillense. Its description in RNAcentral is "bacterial SSU rRNA". It matches the Rfam family "Bacterial small subunit ribosomal RNA". Lineage: Bacteria; Bacillati; Actinomycetota; Actinomycetes; Mycobacteriales; Mycobacteriaceae. The record is from RNAcentral.